UGCGGAAGGAUCAUUACCGUUUGCUUACGGCUGCCCCUCGGGGUAGCCUGUAACGCUCACCCUUUGCCCUUUUCGAACCUGUUUGUUCCCCCUCGCCGGGCUCGCCCGGCGGGGGUCCAUUCAAAAACCUUGCAGUACAGCAGUACCUGUCUGAACUAUAACAAAUGUUAAAACUUUCAACAAUGGAUCUCUUGGUUCUGGCAUCGAUGAAGAACGCAGCGAAAUGCGAUACGUAGUGUGAAUUGCAGAAUUCAGUGAAUCAUCGAAUCUUUGAACGCACAUUGCGCCCUUUGGCAUUCCUUAGGGCAUGCCUGUUCGAGCGUCAUUUUCACCCAUCAAGCCCGGCUUGGUGUUGGGCGCCUGUCCGGUUACGCCGGACUCGCCUAGAAAGCAUUGGCGGCCCGUCCCGCGGCUUGGAGCGCAGCACAAUUGCGCCUCCACCCCCGGGCUGGCGACCAGCAAGCGAAUUUAUCACUUUGACCUCGGAUCAGGUAGGGAUACCCGCUGAACUUAAGCAUAU
Molecule: ribosomal RNA, 520 nt
Filed under: Lophiostoma corticola
Lineage: Eukaryota; Fungi; Ascomycota; Dothideomycetes; Pleosporales; Lophiostomataceae
Description: eukaryotic LSU rRNA
Rfam family: 5.8S ribosomal RNA (bases 172-325)
Source: RNAcentral